Molecule: ribosomal RNA, 562 nt
Filed under: uncultured bacterium
Lineage: Bacteria
Description: partial 16S ribosomal RNA
Rfam family: Bacterial small subunit ribosomal RNA
Source: RNAcentral
UGGGGAAUUUUGGACAAUGGGGGAAACCCGUGAUCCAGCCAUCCCGCGUGUGCGAUGAAGGCCUUCGGGUUGUAAAGCACUUUUGGCAGGAAAGAAACGUCGCGGGUUAAUACCCCGCGAAACUGACGGUACCUGCAGAAUAAGCACCGGCUAACUACGUGCCAGCAGCCGCGGUAAUACGUAGGGUGCAAGCGUUAAUCGGAAUUACUGGGCGUAAAGCGUGCGCAGGCGGUUCGGAAAGAAAGAUGUGAAAUCCCAGAGCUUAACUUUGGAACUGCAUUUUUAACUACCGGGCUAGAGUGUGUCAGAGGGAGGUGGAAUUCCGCGUGUAGCAGUGAAAUGCGUAGAUAUGCGGAGGAACACCGAUGGCGAAGGCAGCCUCCUGGGAUAACACUGACGCUCAUGCACGAAAGCGUGGGGAGCAAACAGGAUUAGAUACCCUGGUAGUCCACGCCCUAAACGAUGUCAACUAGCUGUUGGGGCCUUCGGGCCUUGGUAGCGCAGCUAACGCGUGAAGUUGACCGCCUGGGGAGUACGGUCGCAAGAUUAAAACUCAAAGGAA